This 757-nucleotide ribosomal RNA is filed under the name uncultured bacterium. RNAcentral describes it as "bacterial SSU rRNA". It matches the Rfam family "Bacterial small subunit ribosomal RNA", at positions 28 to 774 of the family's 1533-position model. The record is from RNAcentral.
AUUGAACGCUGGCGGCAGGCCUAACACAUGCAAGUCGAGCGGCAGCACAGAGAAACUUGUUUCUCGGGUGGCGAGCGGCGGACGGGUGAGUAAUGCCUGGGAAAUUGCCCUGAUGUGGGGGAUAACCAUUGGAAACGAUGGCUAAUACCGCAUGAUGCCUACGGGCCAAAGAGGGGGACCUUCGGGCCUCUCGCGUCAGGAUAUGCCCAGGUGGGAUUAGCUAGUUGGUGAGGUAAGGGCUCACCAAGGCGACGAUCCCUAGCUGGUCUGAGAGGAUGAUCAGCCACACUGGAACUGAGACACGGUCCAGACUCCUACGGGAGGCAGCAGUGGGGAAUAUUGCACAAUGGGCGCAAGCCUGAUGCAGCCAUGCCGCGUGUGUGAAGAAGGCCUUCGGGUUGUAAAGCACUUUCAGUUGUGAGGAAGGUGGUGUCGUUAAUAGCGGCAUCAUUUGACGUUAGCAACAGAAGAAGCACCGGCUAACUCCGUGCCAGCAGCCGCGGUAAUACGGAGGGUGCGAGCGUUAAUCGGAAUUACUGGGCGUAAAGCGCAUGCAGGUGGUUUGUUAAGUCAGAUGUGAAAGCCCGGGGCUCAACCUCGGAACUGCAUUUGAAACUGGCAGACUAGAGUACUGUAGAGGGGGGUAGAAUUUCAGGUGUAGCGGUGAAAUGCGUAGAGAUCUGAAGGAAUACCGGUGGCGAAGGCGGCCCCCUGGACAGAUACUGACACUCAGAUGCGAAAGCGUGGGGAGCAAACG